Molecule: non-coding RNA, 32 nt
Filed under: Rattus norvegicus (Norway rat)
Lineage: Eukaryota; Metazoa; Chordata; Mammalia; Rodentia; Muridae
Source: RNAcentral
UGUGGUGACUCACCUGCCCUUUAAAUGAUGAC